Molecule: ribosomal RNA, 426 nt
Filed under: uncultured Pseudoflavonifractor sp.
Lineage: Bacteria; Bacillati; Bacillota; Clostridia; Eubacteriales; Oscillospiraceae
Description: bacterial SSU rRNA
Rfam family: Bacterial small subunit ribosomal RNA
Source: RNAcentral
UGGGGAAUAUUGGGCAAUGGGGGGCAACCCUGACCCAGCAACGCCGCGUGAAGGAAGAAGGCUUUCGGGUUGUAAACUUCUUUUGUCAGGGACGAAGAGAGUGACGGUACCUGACGAAUAAGCCGCGGCUAACUACGUGCCAGCAGCCGCGGUAAUACGUAGGUGGCAAGCGUUGUCCGGAUUUACUGGGUGUAAAGGGCGCGUAGGCGGGUAUGCAAGUCAGAUGUGAAAUGUAGGGGCUUAACCCCUGAACUGCAUUUGAAACUGUGUAUCUUGAGUAUCGGAGAGGCAGGCGGAAUUCCUAGUGUAGCGGUGAAAUGCGUAGAUAUUAGGAGGAACACCAGUGGCGAAGGCGGCUUUCUGGACUGUUACUGACACUGAGGCACGAGAGUGUGGGGAGCAAACAGGAUUAGAUACCCUGGUAGU